GUGUUCACCUUGGCAGUACAUAUACUAAAAUUAGAAUGAUACAGAGAUUAGCAUGGCCCCUGUGCAAGGAUGACACUUUCUAAAAAUUUAUUAGUAUUA
Small nuclear RNA from Rhinopithecus bieti (black snub-nosed monkey), 99 nucleotides. Lineage: Eukaryota; Metazoa; Chordata; Mammalia; Primates; Cercopithecidae. The record is from Ensembl.